RNAcentral lists this ribosomal RNA (2758 nucleotides) under Klebsiella pneumoniae. Its description in RNAcentral is "bacterial LSU rRNA". It matches the Rfam family "Bacterial large subunit ribosomal RNA". The record is from RNAcentral. Lineage: Bacteria; Pseudomonadati; Pseudomonadota; Gammaproteobacteria; Enterobacterales; Enterobacteriaceae.
CACUAUCGUUAACUGAAUACAUAGGUUAACGAGGCGAACCGGGGGAACUGAAACAUCUAAGUACCCCGAGGAAAAGAAAUCAACCGAGAUUCCCCCAGUAGCGGCGAGCGAACGGGGAGCAGCCCAGAGUCUGAAUCAGCUUGUGUGUUAGUGGAACGGUCUGGAAAGUCCGACGGUACAGGGUGAUAGUCCCGUACACCAAAAUGCACAGGCUGUGAACUCGAAGAGUAGGGCGGGACACGUGGUAUCCUGUCUGAAUAUGGGGGGACCAUCCUCCAAGGCUAAAUACUCCUGACUGACCGAUAGUGAACCAGUACCGUGAGGGAAAGGCGAAAAGAACCCCGGCGAGGGGAGUGAAAAAGAACCUGAAACCGUGUACGUACAAGCAGUGGGAGCACCUUCGGGUGUGACUGCGUACCUUUUGUAUAAUGGGUCAGCGACUUAUAUUCUGUAGCAAGGUUAACCGUAUAGGGGAGCCGCAGGGAAACCGAGUCUUAACUGGGCGUUAAGUUGCAGGGUAUAGACCCGAAACCCGGUGAUCUAGCCAUGGGCAGGUUGAAGGUUGGGUAACACUAACUGGAGGACCGAACCGACUAAUGUUGAAAAAUUAGCGGAUGACUUGUGGCUGGGGGUGAAAGGCCAAUCAAACCGGGAGAUAGCUGGUUCUCCCCGAAAGCUAUUUAGGUAGCGCCUCGUGAAUUCAUCUUCGGGGGUAGAGCACUGUUUCGGCUAGGGGGUCAUCCCGACUUACCAACCCGAUGCAAACUACGAAUACCGAAGAAUGUUAUCACGGGAGACACACGGCGGGUGCUAACGUCCGUCGUGAAGAGGGAAACAACCCAGACCGCCAGCUAAGGUCCCAAAGUCAUGGUUAAGUGGGAAACGAUGUGGGAAGGCACAGACAGCCAGGAUGUUGGCUUAGAAGCAGCCAUCAUUUAAAGAAAGCGUAAUAGCUCACUGGUCGAGUCGGCCUGCGCGGAAGAUGUAACGGGGCUAAACCAUGCACCGAAGCUGCGGCAGCGACACUAUGUGUUGUUGGGUAGGGGAGCGUUCUGUAAGCCUGCGAAGGUGACCUGUGAGGGUUGCUGGAGGUAUCAGAAGUGCGAAUGCUGACAUAAGUAACGAUAAAGCGGGUGAAAAGCCCGCUCGCCGGAAGACCAAGGGUUCCUGUCCAACGUUAAUCGGGGCAGGGUGAGUCGACCCCUAAGGCGAGGCCGAAAGGCGUAGUCGAUGGGAAACAGGUUAAUAUUCCUGUACUUGGUGUUACUGCGAAGGGGGGACGGAGAAGGCUAUGUUAGCCGGGCGACGGUUGUCCCGGUUUAAGCAUGUAGGCUGGUUGUCCAGGCAAAUCCGGAUAAUCAAGGCUGAGGUGUGAUGACGAGGCACUACGGUGCUGAAGUAACAAAUGCCCUGCUUCCAGGAAAAGCCUCUAAGCAUCAGGUAACAUCAAAUCGUACCCCAAACCGACACAGGUGGUCAGGUAGAGAAUACCAAGGCGCUUGAGAGAACUCGGGUGAAGGAACUAGGCAAAAUGGUGCCGUAACUUCGGGAGAAGGCACGCUGGUGUGUAGGUGAAGUCCCUGCGGAUGGAGCUGAGACCAGUCGAAGAUACCAGCUGGCUGCAACUGUUUAUUAAAAACACAGCACUGUGCAAACACGAAAGUGGACGUAUACGGUGUGACGCCUGCCCGGUGCCGGAAGGUUAAUUGAUGGGGUUAUCCGUAAGGAGAAGCUCUUGAUCGAAGCCCCGGUAAACGGCGGCCGUAACUAUAACGGUCCUAAGGUAGCGAAAUUCCUUGUCGGGUAAGUUCCGACCUGCACGAAUGGCGUAAUGAUGGCCAGGCUGUCUCCACCCGAGACUCAGUGAAAUUGAACUCGCUGUGAAGAUGCAGUGUACCCGCGGCAAGACGGAAAGACCCCGUGAACCUUUACUAUAGCUUGACACUGAACAUUGAGCCUUGAUGUGUAGGAUAGGUGGGAGGCUUUGAAGCGUGGACGCCAGUCUGCGUGGAGCCAACCUUGAAAUACCACCCUUUAAUGUUUGAUGUUCUAACGUUGGCCCCUUAUCGGGGUUGCGGACAGUGUCUGGUGGGUAGUUUGACUGGGGCGGUCUCCUCCCAAAGCGUAACGGAGGAGCACGAAGGUUAGCUAAUCCUGGUCGGACAUCAGGAGGUUAGUGCAAUGGCAUAAGCUAGCUUGACUGCGAGCGUGACGGCGCGAGCAGGUGCGAAAGCAGGUCAUAGUGAUCCGGUGGUUCUGAAUGGAAGGGCCAUCGCUCAACGGAUAAAAGGUACUCCGGGGAUAACAGGCUGAUACCGCCCAAGAGUUCAUAUCGACGGCGGUGUUUGGCACCUCGAUGUCGGCUCAUCACAUCCUGGGGCUGAAGUAGGUCCCAAGGGUAUGGCUGUUCGCCAUUUAAAGUGGUACGCGAGCUGGGUUUAGAACGUCGUGAGACAGUUCGGUCCCUAUCUGCCGUGGGCGCUGGAGAAUUGAGGGGGGCUGCUCCUAGUACGAGAGGACCGGAGUGGACGCAUCACUGGUGUUCGGGUUGUCAUGCCAAUGGCACUGCCCGGUAGCUAAAUGCGGAAGAGAUAAGUGCUGAAAGCAUCUAAGCACGAAACUUGCCCCGAGAUGAGUUCUCCCUGAGACUUUAAGUCUCCUGAAGGAACGUUAAAGACGAUGACGUUGAUAGGCCGGGUGUGUAAGCGCAGCGAUGCGUUGAGCUAACCGGUACUAAUGAACCGUGAGGCUUAACCUU